UGCAGUCGAGCGGAACGAGUUAGUCUGAACCUUCGGGGAACGAUAACGGCGUCGAGCGGCGGACGGGUGAGUAAUGCCUGGGAAAUUGCCCUGAUGUGGGGGAUAACCAUUGGAAACGAUGGCUAAUACCGCAUAAUAGCUUCGGCUCAAAGAGGGGGACCUUCGGGCCUCUCGCGUCAGGAUAUGCCCAGGUGGGAUUAGCUAGUUGGUGAGGUAAGGGCUCACCAAGGCGACGAUCCCUAGCUGGUCUGAGAGGAUGAUCAGCCACACUGGAACUGAGACACGGUCCAGACUCCUACGGGAGGCAGCAGUGGGGAAUAUUGCACAAUGGGCGCAAGCCUGAUGCAGCCAUGCCGCGUGUAUGAAGAAGGCCUUCGGGUUGUAAAGUACUUUCAGCAGUGAGGAAGGUGGUGUACUUAAUACGUGCAUCAUUUGACGUUAGCUGCAGAAGAAGCACCGGCUAACUCCGUGCCAGCAGCCGCGGUAAUACGGAGGGUGCGAGCGUUAAUCGGAAUUACUGGGCGUAAAGCGCAUGCAGGUGGUUUGUUAAGUCAGAUGUGAAAGCCCGGGGCUCAACCUCGGAAUUGCAUUUGAAACUGGCAGACUAGAGUACUGUAGAGGGGGGUAGAAUUUCAGUGUAGCGGUGAAAUG
Molecule: ribosomal RNA, 651 nt
Filed under: uncultured bacterium
Lineage: Bacteria
Description: bacterial SSU rRNA
Rfam family: Bacterial small subunit ribosomal RNA
Source: RNAcentral